UACGAAGGGGGCUAGCGUUGCUCGGAAUCAUUGGGCGUAAAGGGCGCGUAGGCGGCUCGGUUGGUCAGGCGUGAAAUCCCCGGGCUCAACCCAGGGACUGCGCUUGAUACGGCCGUGCUGGAGGAUGGAAGAGGGCCGCGGAAUUCCCAGUGUAGAGGUGAAAUUCGUAGAUAUUGGGAAGAACACCGGUGGCGAAGGCGGCGGCCUGGUCCAUUUCUGACGCUGAGGCGCGACAGCGUGGGGAGCAAACAGG
This 253-nucleotide ribosomal RNA is filed under the name uncultured bacterium. RNAcentral's name for it is "partial 16S ribosomal RNA". It matches the Rfam family "Bacterial small subunit ribosomal RNA", at positions 524 to 776 of the family's 1533-position model. The record is from RNAcentral.